RNAcentral lists this ribosomal RNA (314 nucleotides) under uncultured Bacillota bacterium. Its description in RNAcentral is "bacterial SSU rRNA". It matches the Rfam family "Bacterial small subunit ribosomal RNA", at positions 28 to 351 of the family's 1533-position model. Lineage: Bacteria; Bacillati; Bacillota. The record is from RNAcentral.
GAUGAACGCUGGCGGCGUGCCUAACACAUGCAAGUUGAGCGAUCUUCUUCGGAAGAGAGCGGCGGACGGGUGAGUAACGCGUGGGUAACCUGCCCUGUACACACGGAUAACAUACCGAAAGGUAUGCUAAUACGAGAUAACAUACUUUUAUCGCAUGGUAGAAGUAUCAAAGCUCUGGCGGUACAGGAUGGACCCGCGUCUGAUUAGCUAGUUGGUGAGGUAAUGGCUCACCAAGGCGACGAUCAGUAGCCGACCUGAGAGGGUGAUCGGCCACAUUGGAACUGAGACACGGUCCAAACUCCUACGGGUGGCAG